UCAGCUUCAUUCUUCAACAAAAAAAAACUGAGGGGUCUCUCAAAUCCUCUCAACCCGCUCUUAGGCUGGCCAUAGUCGCCGUCGUGGCUCCGCCGUGGGCGAUGGCGUGCGACUCAAUGGUCAUUUUUUACCCCAUUUUAAAAAAGGCCAUUUGAAGACCGAGCCUUCUUAGCCCCAAAGGCUGAAGAAAAAGAGACCUCUGCGCCCUCCCUCGGCUAGAUUUCUGCGGCCUCAAAGGGGCUCCGGCGACGAGACCCGCGGCGCGAUUCCAGGUGUCAGGAGCGUGCAACGCGCGUGGAGGACCAGCGAUAGGCGAGCGGCAAAGGUGGCGGUGGCAGGAAUGGCAAAGGCUAGGGGCAGGCAUGCGGCGCCUAGGGUUUUCUGCUGCAAACAUUUUGUUUUUCAUUUGGGCUAGGGUUUCUGUUAUUGGGCUAGGAUUUGGGUAGUGGGUUUGUUUUUGGAUCUUAUUUGUUUAUUUUUGGGCUUUUAGCCCGGGCAAAAAUUGGGCUACUACACUCAUCUUCAUGAUUGAAAAGAAAAUAGUUAGACAAAUAAAUGAUAAUGCAAAUCAAAGCGGUAGAGGGAAAUGUUAAUUCAAAUAAAUAAUAUUUGGUAAUCUCUAUCUUUCUCUCA
This is a long non-coding RNA of Gossypium raimondii (Peruvian cotton), 633 nucleotides long. RefSeq lists it as uncharacterized. The transcript is spliced from 2 exons. NCBI's taxonomy places the organism in Eukaryota, Viridiplantae, Streptophyta, Magnoliopsida, Malvales, Malvaceae. The record is from RefSeq and is a predicted model, not a curated record.